AACCACCAAGAUUUCCGAUUUCGCUGCGUAGCCGAGCCUGGUCUAGGUCUAUCCACACUGAGAGCGGUUUCCUUGAAACGCUUAACGCUCGUCGUCCGUCCGUUAACAAGUGUAAUCUGUUUUAAUCAGUGGUUUUCCUCGCGUUUAUCAUAGUAUCGUCAGGAACACCGGAAAAGCUAGAUGUCGCUAGCAAACAAGUAUAUUUUCGGUGUUCUGAGGGGAAAGUGUAGUGAGUGCGAAGAUUGCAAAGAAUAUAUAACCGAAAACGAACGUCACCACCGCAGCCCUAAUUCACACACUUCAUACACUGGGAUCCCACAUGCAGGUUCACAUACCGUCACCAGCGCAAUGCAGUACCUCACAAACUCGUCCCAGAGCGCCUCCAACGCUGAUAACGGAGUAAUGUAGUGUCUCCUGCGUUACUGUACACUCAUAUUCCUCAAGGUUGUGUGCGUUUUAUGUAAUACUGUAUUGCCAUUUGCGCUCGCCUCUGCAACACGAAUGUGGAAUAAAUUUUUUUCUGCUGCAAUU
Long non-coding RNA from Ornithodoros turicata, 531 nucleotides. RefSeq lists it as uncharacterized. The record is from RefSeq and is a predicted model, not a curated record. Lineage: Eukaryota; Metazoa; Arthropoda; Arachnida; Ixodida; Argasidae. The transcript has 2 exons.